CCGGGAAUCACCCUGGGUCCCGCUCCGCCCCGCCGCCGGGGGAGGAGGAGAAGGGGGGAAGGGGGGGGCAGACGGCAGUUCUCUUCCGCUAUAAAGGGCCCUGGGCCGCCGAAGCUCGCCUCAGCGUCCUCCGGCUCCGCCUUCGCCGCCUUCCUCCCAGCUGGAGCUCCAGUUCCCGCUCAGGUUCCAAUCGACCCUCUCGGGCUCGGCUACUCGGGCUGCACCAGAAGAUGGCGGCUUCCGACGCUCGGGCCGACUGCUCCGAAGCGGCGCUGGCUGCAGCCCUGGCGGACGUGCCGGAACUAGCUCGACUGCUGGAGAUCGACCCGUACCUGAAACCCUUCGCCCUGGAUUUCCAGCGCAGGUAUAAGCGGUUUAAGGAGACUUUGAACAACAUCGAAGAGAACGAAGGUGGUAUUGAUAAAUUUUCCAGAGGUUAUGAAUCAUUUGGUGUCCACACAUGUGCCGAUGGUGGUUUAUACUGCAAAGAAUGGGCCCCAGGAGCAGAAGGAGUUUUUCUUACUGGAGACUUCAAUGAUUGGAAUCCAUUUUCGUACCCAUAUAAAAAACUGGAUUAUGGAAAGUGGGAGCUUUAUAUCCCACCAAAGAGGAAUAAAUCUCUACUUGUACCUCAUGGAUCCAAAUUAAAGGUAGUUAUUAGGAGUAAAAGUGGAGAGAUCUUGUAUCGUAUUUCACCAUGGGCGAAGUAUGUGACUCGUGAAGGUGAUAAUGUGAAUUAUGAUUGGAUACACUGGGAUCCAGAACACCCAUAUAAAUUUAAGCAUUCCAAACCAAAGAAGCCAAGAGGUCUAAGAAUUUAUGAAUCUCAUGUGGGAAUUUCUUCCUAUGAAGGAAAAAUAGCUUCUUAUAAACAUUUUACAUGCAAUGUACUACCAAGAAUCAAAGACCUUGGAUACAACUGCAUUCAGAUGAUGGCAAUAAUGGAGCAUGCUUACUAUGCCAGUUUUGGUUACCAGAUCACAAGCUUCUUUGCAGCUUCAAGCCGUUAUGGAACGCCUGAAGAGCUAAAAGAACUGGUUGACACGGCUCACUCAAUGGGUAUCACCGUCCUCUUAGAUGUGGUACACAGCCAUGCUUCAAAAAAUUCAGAAGAUGGAUUGAACAUGUUUGAUGGGACUGAUUCCUGUUAUUUUCAUUCUGGACCUAGAGGGAAUCAUGAUCUUUGGGACAGUCGAUUGUUUGCCUACUCCAGCUGGGAAGUUUUAAGAUUCCUUCUGUCAAACAUAAGAUGGUGGUUAGAAGAAUAUGGCUUUGAUGGAUUUCGUUUUGAUGGUGUUACAUCCAUGCUCUAUCAUCACCAUGGAAUGGGUCAAGGUUUUUCGGGUGAUUACCAUGAAUAUUUUGGACUUCAAGUAGAUGAAGAUGCCUUGAUUUAUCUCAUGUUGGCAAAUCAUUUGAUUCACACGUUGUAUCCAGAUUCUGUAACAGUAGCUGAGGAUGUAUCAGGAAUGCCAGCUGUCUGUUCUCCGAUUUCCCAGGGAGGGGUUGGCUUUGACUAUCGAUUAGCCAUGGCAAUUCCAGAUAAAUGGAUUCAGCUACUUAAAGAGUUUAAAGAUGAAGACUGGAAUAUGGGCAAUAUUGUGUACACACUCACAAACAGACGCUACCUUGAAAAGUGCAUUGCUUAUGCCGAGAGCCAUGAUCAGGCACUCGUUGGGGACAAGACACUGGCAUUUUGGUUGAUGGAUGCUGAAAUGUAUACCAACAUGAGUGUUCUGACCCCAUUUACUCCAGUUAUUGAUCGUGGAAUACAGCUUCAUAAAAUGAUUCGACUCAUUACUCAUGCUCUUGGUGGAGAAGGCUAUCUCAAUUUUAUGGGUAAUGAAUUUGGGCAUCCUGAAUGGUUAGACUUUCCAAGAAAAGGAAAUAAUGAGAGUUAUCAUUAUGCCAGAAGGCAGUUUCAUUUAACUGAUGAUGACCUCCUUCGCUAUAAGUUCCUAAAUAACUUUGACAGGGAUAUGAAUAAAUUGGAAGAAAGAUGUGGUUGGCUUUCAGCUCCACAGGCCUAUGUGAGUGAAAAGCAUGAAGCCAAUAAGAUCAUUGCUUUUGAGAGAGCAGGUCUUCUUUUUAUUUUCAACUUUCAUCCAAGCAAGAGCUACACUGAUUACCGAGUUGGAACAACGCUGCCAGGAAAAUAUCCUUUUUGUUGCUGGUGAAUAUAUUUGCUGAGCACCUACCCAUUGAACACCAGUGUACCAGCCCUGUGCGAGGUGCUGGAGAGACAGGAAUUCUCCUGGCAGAUGUAGUCACUGCCCUCGUGGAGCUUUUAAACUAGUGAAGAAGAAAAACAUUAGUAAUUAAUUCAGUCGCACAUUCCCAAAGAAAUGUCUAGGAAGGAGAAGCGUAUUGCCAAGACGGGCUGAAUCAGGGGAAUUACCCUGGAGUUUCCAGGAAGUGGGAAGUGGACUCAGGAAGUGGACUUCGGGGGGAAGUGGUUACUCAGACAGACCGUUUCUCCACCAGUGAAGAAGAAAGGGCCAGUGCUGUCUAGUUAAGUAGCCUGCGGCACCUGCCGCUCCCCUGCGCUAUCAGUGAGUGUGGUGAGAGAUGGUCCCCUACCCUUUGCCUGCCCAGCAGAGCACAGUUCCACCUGCCAUCAGAGCAUUUAGGAGACAUGGCUGUCACUGUGACUAACAGCCCCAGGGUGCCCCAGUUGACACAGAGAAUGCUCCGUCAGUGUGAUGGGAUUGCCUGCACCAAAGAUGCACUUGUUCCAGGAAGCAAAUGUACUCACCAUUUUUAUAAAGAAAUGCAAAUAAAUGCUAGACAUGUACCAUCUCAUACGUGACCCCUCUCGGCUGCAAACUGCUGAAGUAAUGCCCCUAGACUCACUUCCCGUAUACCUGAAAAUGUCAUAUAGUCAAUAUGCAAUCAAAAUAUAAUUUUUUUAAAGAUUUUAUUUAUUAUUUAUUUGAGAGAGAGAGAGAGAGAGAGCACAUGAGAGGGGGGAGGGUCAGAGGGAGAAGCAGACUCCCUGCCGAGCAGGGAGCCCGAUGUGGGACUUGAUCCCGGGACUCCAGGAUCAUGACCUGAGCCGAAGGCAGUCGCUCAACCAACUGAGCCAGCCAGGUGCCCCAAAAUAUAAUUUUUUUAUAAUCAAACCAAAAUACAUUUACAGUACACUUGGGAGCUACUUCAGUCUUUGUUAAGCACUAUCCUUGACCCUAAGUCAGUAGGAGAGAAGAGAUGUAUAAAACCAAACUAGGAUGUAAGUCAUAAUGCAGUAAAUGGGAAGGGAGCAGGAAUGUUCUACGGGAGAACAGGAGAUAAGUAAAAGAAAAAAAAUAAAGUGAGAGAAAGAGAGAAAGAAAUUGAUUGAUGGAGUGAUUGAUUUAAGGAAAAGACCUUUAAGCCUGGACCUUGAGAAAUGGAUAAAAUUGUAGUAGAAAAAAUUGAGAAGGGCCAUCUUAGCUGUUGGAGAACAUAGAACGUUCUUAGAUAAUGAACAGCACAAUGUAUUAAUUGGAGAAUGAUGACCCUAAAAAGGAAUAAAAGAUAAAGCUGAAAAGAUAGAUUGAGAUCACAUAAUAGAAAAUUUCAAUGCUAUAUUAAUUAGUUUAGACUUUUUUCCAUAGUUCUAUAUUGAAUCACUGAAGGUUUCUGAGUUAGGGAGCUACCUGAUAAGAAUGUAUGCUUUAGGAAAAGUUCUCACGGACCCAGUGUGUAGGAGAGCUUUCUUGAGGAAAGAGAUGGGAAGUACAGAUAUUAAGUAUGAGAAAUUAUAGUACAUGUAAAAGAUAAUUAAGGCAUGAGCUAAAGGAAUGACAAUAGGAUAGAAAGAGGUUUAUGAGCAUUUUCUUAGAGUGAAAGAACUCAGCAAUUGUUUGGACUUGGGAUGGAGAAGAGAAAAUACAAGGUUUCACUUUAAACAAGGGGAAGAAUGGUAGUGGUGUUAUUACUUAGGAUACCAAAGCAAGAAAGCAAGGAGGAAUAACCAGUUAGGGGAAUAGAAAAUAUAAGUUUAGGGGCACCGGCUGGCUCACUUGCUAGAGCAUGUGACUCUUUUUUUUUUUUUUAAAGAUUUUAUUUAUUUAUUUGACAGAGAGAGACACAGCAAGAGAGGGAACACAAGCAGGGGGAGUGGUAGAGGGAGAAGCAGGCUUCCCGCCGAGCAGGGAGCCCGACGUGGGACUCCAUCCCAGGACCCUGGGAUCAUGACUGAGCCGAAGGCAGACGCUUAACGACUGAGCCACCCAGGCGCCCAGCAUGUGACUCUUGAUCUCAGGUUGUGAGUUCAAGCCCCAUGUUGGGUGUAGAACUUACUUAAAAAAAAAAGUGUAUGUAUAUAUAUAUAUAUAUAUAUAUAUAUAUACACAUACACACACACAUAUAUAUAAAGAAAAAAUGUGGGCGCCUGGGUGGCUCAGAUGGUUAAGCGUCUGCCUUCGGCUCAGGUCAUGAUCCCAGGAUCCUGGGAUCGAGUCCCACAUCGGGCUCCCUGCUCCUUGGGAGCCUGCUUCUCCCUCUGCCUCUCUCUCUCUCUCUGUCUCUCAUGAAUAAAUAAAUAAAAUCUUUAAAAAAAAAAAAAAGAAAAAGAAAAAAUGUUUAAUUUAGGAUUUUGAUAAAUGUAAACACAUAGAAUAUCAAUGGUGAUGUUUAGAAGAAAAAUCUUGACUCAAGCUACAUUGAUCUCCUGUGUAACUAUGUAAUCUAUGUAAUUUUAACAAAUAUUAUUAAGUGAAAACAUAAAUAAUAGCAUAUUUUAUGAAGUAGAAUCUACCCAAAAGUUAAUUUUAUUUAAUGAUACAAUAUUACACUGUACAUAAAAGUCUAUAUUUUGUGUUUUGUUUUGUUUUUCUGAAGUGAUCUCUACACUAAACACGGGGCUUGAACCCAUGACCCUGAGAUCAAGAGUCAAAUGCUCUACCAACUGAGCCAGCCAGGCACCUUUCUAGUUUGGUUUUGAUAAAACCUUGAUACAAAUGGAGUCUUCUGAAAUUUGGUGAUUUAUCUAGAUGUCUAUAGGCAUCCGUUAUACAGAAAUUCUCUAUAUUAAACACUAAAUGUUUUACGUUAGUGACCCCUUUCAGAAACUGUACUCAUUAAAAGCUCUAAUUAUGUAGACACCUGGGAAAAUUGGGCCAUAUCUUCAUAUAAGUAAAACUUGAACCCUUGAUCAUCUAUUGCAUCUCUAGGAAAACCUUGAAAAUAUUCUUGGUUCUUUUCUUAGAGGGAUUUUGUUUUCUACAGAUUUGUGCCCACUUAGACCUUAUUUACUCUUGCCACCUUUCUCAUUCUUGAAUUUCUGUCAACAAGCUGUAACUAAUUCCCAUACGUUACCGCUUCCUCUGAGGACAUUUACAUUUUAAUAAUGGUCUCUUUGAAAACUCCAGAAAUAUGCAAGACCUUAUGGACUGGUUAUCUCAUGUAAUAAUUGUUUUAUAACAAAGAUUUUUUUUUUUUGAGGGGAGGGGAGCAGGAGAGAAUCUCCAACAUACCUUAAACCACACCUAAUUAGCUUUAAGUUCAUAACACCAGCUUUAACUCUUACAUUGAUCUUAAAACCUUCUGGAUUUCGUGAUGUUCUAUACUCCAGUGACCCAGUUCAGUGCAGAAAUAACAUUUGUAAGUUCCUCCACACAUCACAGCUAACCAUCAAUAGAGCACAUUCCAGUCCUAGGAAUCUCACUAUUUCACAAGGUAAGCAAUUCUAGGGUUUUGUUUUUUUUUAAAUAUUGCCUUAAACGUAUGAAAAUAAAUGCAUUAAUUCUGUACUCUGGCUCCAGCGCCUGUUCUACAAGCUGCCACUCAGAUCAGAAGGGCAUUUAACAUGCUCCUCACAGUACUUACCGCUCCCUAGUCUUCCCUCUUCCAGACCAGAUGCCUCUGUUUUCUUCAGUAGAUUCUCAUGAUACUUUCCAGACCUCUUACCAUCGCAUCUCCCUCAUCAAAAUACACUCGGCAUGGUGCCCAUCCCUCUUACAUCAUGUCUCCAGAAUUAACAGCAUAAUAUUUCAGAUAGAGUCUGGCAAGUAUGACUUAGAGUACCCCAUUACCUCCCUUUAUCUUGAUACUGCUCUCUUAUUAAUAUAGUCAAAGGGAAACUAGCUUUCCUGGCAGCCAUCACGUUUUUUACUCAUAUUUGCAACCAAAUAAAAAUCUCUAGUUUUUCUUGAUGUGUACUAACUAGUAUGAUAUCAUAGCUCCCUUAUUCUUUUUUAUGAUUUUAUUUAUUUGUGAGAGAGAGAGAGCAAGCACAAGCAGGAGGAGUGGCAGGCAGAGGGAGAAGCAGGCUUCCCACUGAGCAGGGAGCCCGACGCGGGGCUUGAUCCCAGGACCCUGGGACCAUGACCUGAGCUGAAGGCAGACGCUUAACCGACUGAACCACCCAGGCACCCUAUUCAGCUAAUAACUUUAACCUAAAAUCCCAAAUUUAACAUUGAACAUGAAAAUAUAUAUAUUGGUUUUUUGCCUCUAACCUGUUAAUGGGGGAGACAACAGUUCUCUGUCAUUAUGAUGAUUGUACUAUCUUCCAUAAGCAGCAGAUACAUCUAUGCUUUCUUUCAGCUCUUAUUGUUCCAAGCUUAGCUUUAAGAGUUCUUUUUAUUAUCCUUAGCAUUUUACAAGUCUCAUUUCUUUUUGGUCUUUCAUCUUUCUGACUUUAUUCUUAUACCUUUACACGACAUUGUAGCUCAGCAUUAUAGAAUCAUUUCAGAUAGGGAAAGUACAAAAAAUUAGGAUUUCUAUGCUGUAUUUUCUGACUUUGCCAAAGUGUUCUGUGCCAUUGGUAUUUCCAACUACUGAGCCAGUGAUUUGAAUACAGAUUUUCACUGUGAAGAAUCCACAGUGGCAAGAUUGGUUAUAUUAAUCAAGUCAAGAAAUUCAUCAAAUUUUUAAUUCCCUGGAAAGCAGGAUUUGGUGCCAGAACAAAUUGAAAGUUUCUAAAGAAGUCAUUUGAACUUCUUCUUUCACUAUGAAAUAUAAACCUGCGAACAGGUAACAUGUCUGAAUUCUUGAGCAGUUCCAUUUUUUGAACCCAUAUAUCCAGUAUAUCACAUAGCAAGACAUCAACUUUCACUCAAAUCUGUGGAGGAUAGGUGAUGACUGUCUUCCCAAGAAACUGUUGUAAGGUGAACUAUUUUGGGGAUAAUGCCAGGCAAAGCAGAAGAAACACUUAAAGGAUGUCUUUAAUUAUCACUUCAAAAUGAGAUGAUACAUUUUGGAAAGCUAAAAGAGAAAUCGGAUUUGUAUCACUAAGGUUUUGGAAUGUGGUCUUAAAGGUGACAGCUAAAAGACAUAGUAUUGUUUCUGCAACAAGAAUCUAUAGCCGUAUUCUAGAAAAUUAAAAAAAAACACACACACAAAAACCCUUUGCUUAUAUACUAUCUUACAUUGGUCUUUUUAGCUGCUGAUCUUCAAUGUAAUAACCACCAACAUUCUUUAAUUAGUAAAUAGCAACGUGUGUGAUGCAGAACUCAGAUCUAAACAUAUAGACAAGUAGGCUGGUCAUACAUUUCAUACCUAGGAAGAUAAAACACACUCUCUUAAUGUGUUAUAUUUGCCUGUGAUUUCACAUUGUUUAGCUGUAGAGAAAGAAAGAAAAAAAAAACCAUAAUGCCCUUUAUAUUAUCAGAAUCAUCGCUGUCUUUCUUGCAUUACAUCUCUUCACUUAGAAUGAUACCAAAUCAGCAUUGAAUCAAAAGGAAAACUGCUAAGCCCCCAAGGACGAACCGUUCCUUCUAAUGCAUUUUGAAGAACAUAAAUGAUGAUACCACAUUUUGAGCGGUGCCAAGGGAAGUGGGUGUUAGGGGACCUCUUUUUGAGGCCCUUCUGUUUGCUGGCCAUUUUUAGUAAGUAUCUAGUUUCCUAUUCCCAGCGGCCCUAUAAGAUAGGUUGUGUUGGCCUCAUGGGACAGGUCAGUAAACCAAGGCCUCUAAGUCACUACCUAACUCCCCUCCAGCACCUAGCUGCAGAGGUUGAGCAGGGACUGCAAAGCUCGUGUUCUCUCUCCUGCGUCAGGGCACCCCUUCUCUGGCUGCCUGUGUGUGGUUGGUGGUAGCAACAGUAGUAUUGCCCAUGAUGACUCAUUUCUGUUACGCUCAGAAGAACUUCUGCAUAGUUUUGGGGGCAAUAGGUAGCCUGAGAAAAUGCACUGUACAUCCUGUAUAUCAGAUACACAAAUUCAUGGCACAGGAGAGCUUCUCUCUCUUCAGCUAACUCCCUUCACGCCUCAUUCGUAAGGCGUGUGUCUUAGUAUGUGCAGAUUCAUACUGUUCUGAGAGCGUAAACAACGCCAAAACCCAGUGUUUUUUCAGUUGUCACCAUGCUGAGAUGGGGGUGGAAAUAAAAGUCUAAUAGCAGCCCCCUUUCCAAAUGGCGUUUCAAACUGUUACAAUACUGAAAUGUUGAGAGUGAUCAUCAAGGAUGGCUUGUGAAAACUAUGUGAAUCCCAGCCAAAAAUAUUUAAAGCUAAGGGAACAGAUGAGUAAAUAGUUGAAUUUGACCUGAGAUCUUUGAAAUGUUUUCAUUAAACUGCCUCAAGAUAUACUUUUUAAAAUGUAAAUUCAGACUCUGACAUUUGCAACCUGUACACAGAGUUUCUAAUGAGCAAAUAAGGUCACUGGGAUGAUUCACUGGAGUGUGAUUGCUGAAGGCAGAGAUGUUGCUGUGAGUUGCUUAGUCUACAGAAGCCUUUGAAGCAUGGUUAUGUAACACUCUGUGUUUAUUAGAAUCUAUGCUUUAUGCAACAAAUAAAAGCAAAGGGCUUAAUUUAGGAUUAGCUAAAUGCCACAUUCCAUCAAGAAUUUAUAUAUAAAGGUUAAUUUCUGAACCAAGAAAAAUAGAGCAUCUCAACUUUCUAGUUUUCCAGGCUAUAUAUGUUUUGGUUAAAAAAAAAAAAAACACCUUAAAAAAAUACAAGGUUUUCUCAUAAAAGAUCUACAACAAUCACUUUGAACAGAUGCAAGCACGUUUUUUUUCCUUUGUGUGUGUGUGUGUAUGUGUGAGUGUGUUAUGUGGGCUUUUGCUCUAUGCUACAAUUUAAUGGUGCUAUUCUUUAUGUGAGCAGAGAUGAUCCUACUAAUAAUUUCAUAUUUAAUAUGGGUCCUACUUUUGUUUUUAUAGCUUCAAAAUGGAUGUGCAUUCAUUGCCAGGUUAGCCCUCUAAUUUCAAGAUGACAGUAAUACUUUUAAACAUUAUCUAGAGGUCUUUUUGAUCAUUUUUUAUUGUUAAAUAUUGUCCAAAAAUCCCUGUGAUUUAAUGAUAAUGACGAAUGCAUCUACCCACCCCCACUGGCAAUAAAGAGCCUAUGAUUUAGCAUCAUUUUUCUACCCAGGAAUUUAAGAUGAAUCACAAAGUAAGAAAAAUAUUUUGCAUGAUUAAAAUAUUGCAACUGCUUUAACAGUUUUAGAUUGGCUUAAUAUAUAUUCAUAAGACUAUAGGCAGUAAUGAAUAAUGAGCAGGCCCUUAAAACACAAAUGGUUUUAGGUGGGGUUUUUUUUUCCUCUCUCUCUUUUUUUUUUUUUUCCUUAAAUAUCUGAGUACUGUUUCAGGGUUCGUGUUCUGAGAUAUUCAACAGCAUUUCUGGGUUUUUUUUUUUUUUUUGCUUCAUAGCUCCGUUGUGUGGUAAUGGUCUCCUUGGUUCCAGAAGUUCAUCUAACAAUAGCUCAGUCAAGAUUUCUAUCCUCUAUUUCUUGUCCUUCAAUGGGAAAAAAGAAAUCAGAAAUAUUAUUGUAACCGUUAAAAACAAUACACACAUAUGUAACAAUUGUAUCGCUAAUGAGGAGAAAAACAUUUGUGCCAAGGUUGAUUAUUUUUACCAAUUUGUAAAAAAAGGUACUAGUAUGUGGAAAUUCUGAGGUAUGUGGUACUACAAUGUGGAAACUGAGGUACGUGUAAGACUAAGAGUCUUAUCCACACAUCAACAAUUAUAUCUUUAGUUAAAAUGUGUUAGGUAUUCACACAUAAAGCUAAAUUUCUGUUGGAUGGACGAUGAUGAAUAGAAGGAUGGGCAGUCAGAAGUGGAUGGAUGGUUGAGUGUUGGAUAGAUAAAAGGAUGAACAGACUGAUGGAUGAUGUGGAUAGAUGGAGGUUACAGCUACCUAAUGGCAAAAGAACCCCUGGGGUUGUUUAAAAUUAAAUAAAGUACAGGGCGCCUGGGUGGCUUAGUUGGUUAAGCGACUGCCUUCGGCUCAGGUCAUGAUCCUGGAGUCCCGGGAUCGAGUCCCGCAUCGGGCUCCCUGCUCGGCGGGGAGUCUGCUUCUCCCUCUGACCCUCCUCCCUCUCAUGCUCUCUGUCUCUCAUUCUCUCUGUCUCAAAUAAAUAAAUAAAAUCUUUAAAAAAUUUAAAAUAAAUAAAUAAAUAAAUAAAAUAGUCCUUUAUUUAAUCAGUCCAAAAACAGAUCAUUCUCUACUAAUUAAAAAAAUAAUUGUAUAAUUGUAUUCAUCACCUUUCUUUAUAUCUGAUGCCAGUGGUCUUUAAUUAGAGCAUUCUGUGUCUAAAAUAAAUUUCUAAUAUUGAAUGUUAAAUUACUUUUUCCUUCUGGAUCUCAGUAGAAAUUAGCCUUUUUCUUUUUUUUUUUUUUUCAGUAAAUAUCUCCUGCCUGCCAUAAAGCUGUUUAGAUCUUCUGUAAGUGAGGUAUUUUCAUUUUCAUCAUUUUCUGUUAAGCUCUUCUAACUCAGAAUCUCACAAAGCUCUUCUAACUCAGAAUCUCACAGGGUCAAACUGAGUAGUCAGUGUUUUAUUUAUAUGUGAAAAUAGUACCUGAAUACUCCAGAAGAUUCUUAAAAUGAAGGAAUGAUAUAAUUACUGGUUCACUGUAAGUAUUUAAGGGCUGCCAAGAAUAUCUUGGUGCUGCAACCAAAGGAAGAGUUUGUCUCUCCAGAGAAAAAUGAACACUGUUCUUGGAAACAGUGGCUUCAGUUAUAACCAUGUGUAAGAAUCAUUUCUAAUUCUAUUAAUGUAGUAUUUUUUGGCCUAAUGGUGGAAAAAUACCUAAUUAAUUCCUAUUAUGUCUGUGAAGUUUACUUGUGAAAUUAAUUGAUUCUUUUUGGUUGUUAUAUGGCAUUAAUUGAAUUAGGAAAGUAUUCUUUAGAUAUCAUUGAGAAAAAUUAUUUAAUGUAUAACUUAAUGAAAUGCAAUCAUGUUAGCUUUUACUGGCACACAGUAAGUGUUUCAUUAUGGGAACAUUAAAACAAAAUUAUUUUGUCUGUAGAAUUAUAAACGUUACUGUAAUUUUUUUCUCCAUCCAUUUAUAUUUAGAGAUAGUCCAUUGUUUUCACUUUACUACCUUCCCUUUCAACACUCUUCCUUUCUUUCCAGCUAAGGAAAACAAGAAAAAUAAGUUUCUCUGAUGGUAGCAUUCUUUUCGGAUUCUGAAACAUUGUUUUUUUCAGUUUGUUGUCUUACUCUAACAUUUUUGUGUCCCAGAGACUCACUAGUUCUAAGUAUUUCCAGUUCUUAUAUGUGUAAAUGUAGAGAAAUUUGUUCUUACUAUUGGGAUAGUGGCUAAAAGCAUGAGCUCUUCGGUGGAGUAAGUAAGACUGUCUAAGGGUUCAAGUUCUGUCUCUCCCACUUACCAGCGUUAUAAAAGUAACCUCACUGUUUCUUAGUUUCCUCAUCUUUAAAACACCUACUUGUAGAAUUAUUGUCAGAAUUAAAUGAGUUAAUGCAUAUGAAAGGCUUAGCAACAGUGUCCUGCUCAGGCUGUAAGCUCAGGCAGUUCACCUGCUCUGCUCAUCAUUACUGGCUCUAAAAAUGCCUUAAGAGGGGCGCCUGGGUGGCUCAGUCCUUAAGCAUCUGCCUUCAGCUCAGGUCAUGAUCCCAGGGUCCUGGGAUCGGGCCCUGCAUCAGGCUCCCUACUCGGUGGGGAGCCUGAUUUUCCCUCUCCCACUCCCCCUGCUUGUGUUCCCUCUCUAGCUGUGUCUCUCUCUGUCAAAUAAAUAAAAUCUUCAAAAAUCAAUCAAUCAAUCAAUAAAAUAAAAAUGCCUUAGAAAUUUGGUAAUAAAAGGAAGGAAAGGAAAGGAUGAGAGGAGUAUGUAUUAAUGCUCUCUAUUACCUACAUGCUCUGGUCCUACUUUUUUCAUUUCCUAUUCCCCAGUUCACCACCACAAGGUGAUUUCUGUCCUGUCACAGUCUUGGAAUUAAGUCUUCUGCUUCUGGCUAAUUCCUUUCUACACUUCUGCAUUAUUGGCUCACCUUUCUUCCUUACCCCCUUGCAGCACUAUCGUGAGUUCCCUUUCCUCUGUACCCACUUUGUCCCAUCUUUUUCCCUCAGGUCCAAAUCCAGUUAUUUUUUUUGUUUCCUUCCUUGCACUCUUCCCUUGAAGAACUCACAUAUGCUCCUGGCUUCAACCCUGUGUAGACGGCCCCUAAUCACCCCUCCUACGUCGAUGUGUGCCUUAUUCACCAACUAUAAUUUUGUGAUAUUUAAUGACCAUUAGGAAAUACCCAGCACAUGGAAUCAUGAAUUUUUGAGAGGUAUCAGAACUCUAGCAUGACCUGGUUCAGCCCAUUGAAAUUAGAUAAAAUUGGUUGGUUUAGAAGAUAUAUUUUAGGGGCACCUGGGUGGCUCAGUUGGUUAAGCGACUGCCUUCGGCUCAGGUCAUGAUCCUGGAGUCCCGGGAUCGAGUCCCGCAUCGGGCUCCCUGCUCGGCAGGGAGUCUGCUUCUCCCUCUGACCCUCCUCCCUCUCAUGCUCUCUGUCUCUCAUUCUCUCUGUCUCAAAUAAAUAAAUAAAAUCUUUAAAAAAAAAAAAGAAGAUAUAUUUUAGGACAUGGUUUUCAAAUUAGUACCAAACAUCAAAGUACCAAACCAUAACACUUCACAGUGUGUGAAUGCUUUUAUUUACAUUGACUCUCCUUAUCAUCACAUCAUUUUAGUGAUAUGGAUCAGGCAAGUAUUCUUAUCCUCAACCUAAAUAUGAACACUAGAAAGAUUUAUAACUUUCACAAGAUCAGAUUCCUAGUAAGGGAAUAAAUGUGAUUUAAAUCUACUUCCCCUAAUUUCAGCAUUGUUUUUCAUGUGAGCACCAGAUAAUUCACUUUUUUGUUGCCCUGUUGAAAUGCCAUUAAAGUAGGUAAAGCAUGUCUCACUAAUUAUAAUUUUAUGUUUCCUUUGCAUUUCUUUGUAAGAGUUAAUGAUGCCUCUGGCUAAAUGUCAUUUCUCUGCAGUGUUAUACUGUCCUCAUUUCUAACACACUUAUAAGCACAGAUCAGUUUAAAUGGGAUAUUUAUAAAAUAUACUCAUUUUAAAAAUAAACAUUUUAGGGGCGCUUGGGUGGCUCAGUUAAGCAUCCGAUUCUUGAUUUCAGCUCAACUCAUGAUCUCAGAGUCAUGAGAUGGAGCAUUGGGCUCCCCGCUGGGCAUAGUGCCUGCUUAAAAUUCUUUCUCUCCCUCUCCCUCUCCCCCUCCGCCCCUCACUCUCAUGCUGUCUCUCUCUCUCUCAUAUACAAGUAAGGAAACAAACAGACUUUUUAAGGAUAAAGUAACUUUUUAAGGAAAAAGAUGAUACUCAAAUUUUUUAUUAAACCAGGAUAUAAACCUAAGUAUAUUUCAGCUUCAAGUGCUGGCUGGGAAAGUGUGGAUCCUGAAGGAUAUUAGAGGAUAAAAGGGUUUGGAGACUAACAGCCCAUAAAACAGGGGAAAGAACAAUUUACAAAGAGGUGAAAGAUAAGAGUUCUGCUUUCAUCAGCUUUCUUGAUAAGCUGUUGCUCAUAUUCUUUCUUGAGCAGUGGAAGUUAUGACCUGUAUGCUGGUUCCAUAUUACUGGCAUAGACUUACAGCAUGGGAGGUCUAAUUUGUUUUAGCCACACACGAUAGAUACAGUCUUGGACAGAUUUAAUCGGGAGAUGAGCCUCCAUGUAGAUCUAUAUUAGAGGCAUAUAACUGUAUAUAUUUCCUUUUCUCACCUUAAUUUUCAAUGUAGGAAAUUCAUCCCUGGUGACAUUUUGUCUGCUGGCUGCCUCAGACAAUUUACCUAAAGAAUACAUGGAAUCCUAUCACUGUACUUGAUUAACUCUCUCAUGACCAUAAUAGUCUCAUCACUUCGGAAUUUUAAUAAUAAUUGGAUGGUCUAAAUAAAACUCACAUUUGUGAAAUAACUAUAAAAUAAAUAAUUAAAUCUACAUAAAAUCUGGUUCAAAACCUGCCAGAAAUUUUACUCAUUUGGAUUAUAUAAGUCAUUUCCAUGUCUAACUAUCAUGACCAAAACGUUUGUUGAUUUCGUUUUGAAUGGUACAAACAUGUACUUUGCAGAAAUAACUUAGCCACUUUACUCUUUGCUUGUAUUAUUUCCUCUGUCUACCCAGUAAGGUUAAACCAAUAUGAUUGUUUUAAAGAUGAUUGCAAACUACUAUAUUAGAUUUAUUAUGCCCCUGGAAAAUAUAUUUAUUAGCAGUCACUUGUGUGUUUAAAGCUCUCGCACUCAAAAAAAAAAAAAAAAAAAAAAGCUCUCGCACUCAUUUUUUUAGUGCCUAUGGGGAAAUGUUUACUUUGAAUCUUUUCCCUCACAAUCAUUAAUCUGGGUACAGUUAUAAUAGUUAUGGGCUGGGUGCCCAGAAAUACUCAGGAAUAACUGGGAGUGAUGGGGCACACACACACGCCUGCAGGCUUUUCUUUAUAAUUUUUCAUGAGAAGCUAGCUCAGCCCAUUCUCAAUCUGAAGCACUGAGUGGGCCCUAGAGUAUUAUGAUUUUCUGUUUGGCCUGAAACUUAUAAAAGAAAGAGGAAUAUACAUUAACUAUACAUGUAAGUUAUGACUUCAAAUAAAUAAUAUUUACUACCAACACUAAGAUAAUCAGUUUUCAAAUGUUUAAGUAUUUUAAUGUUCACAAACUUUGCAGUCUUUCAAUGGCAGAUGGUGGGAGAGUGGUAGAACAUAUUAUCCCUAGAUGUAUAUCCUGGCCCUGCAAAAUUAUUUUUUUAAUAUUAUUAUGUUAUGUUAGUCACCAUACAUUACAUCAUUAGUUUUUGAUGUAGUGUUCCAUGAUUCAUUGUUUGCAUAUAACACCCAGGGCUCCAUGCAGAACAUGCCCUCUUUAAUACCCAUUACCAGGCUAACCAAUCCCCCCACCCCCCUCCCCUCUAGAGCCCUCAGUUUGUUUCUCAGAGUCCGUAGUCUCUCAUGGUUCGUCUCCCCCUCCGAUUUCCCCCCUUUAUUCUUCCCUUCCUGCUAUCUUCUUCUUCUUUUUUUUUUUUUUUUUUAGCAUAUAAUGUAUUAUUUGUUUCAGAGGUACAGGUCUGUGAUUCAACAGUCUUACACAAUUCACAGCACUCACCAUAGCACAAACCCUCCCCAAUGUCUAUCACCCAGCCACCCCAUCCCUCCCACCCUCCCCACCACUCCAGCAACCCUCAGUUUGUUUCCUGAGAUUAAGAAUUCCUCAUAUCAGUGAGGUCAUAUGAUACAUGUCUUUCUCUGAUUGACUUAUUUCGCUCAGCAUAAUACCCUCCAGUUCUAUCCACGUUGUUGCAAAUGGCAAGAUUUCAUUCCUUUUGAUGGCUGCAUAAUAUUCCAUUGUAUAUAUAUACCACAUCUUCUUUAUCCAUUCAUCUGUCGAUGGACAUCUUGGCUCUUUCCAUAGUGUGGCUAUUGUGGACAUUGCUGCUGUAAACAUCAGAGUGCACGUACCCCUUUGGAUCCCUACAUUUGUAUCUUUGGGGUAAAUACCCAGUAGUGCAAUUGCUGGGUUGUAUGAUAGCUCUAUUUUCAACUUUUUGAGGAACCUCCAUACUGUUUUCCAGAGUGGCCGCUCCAUCUUGCAUUCCCACCAACAGUGUAGGAGGGUUCCCCUUUCUCCGCAUCCCCGCCAACAUCUGUCAUUUCCUGACUUGUUAAUUUUAGCCAUUCUGACUGGUGUGAGGUGAUAUCUCAUUGAGGUUUUGAUUUGGAUUUCCCUGAUGCCGAGUGGUGUUGAGCACUUUUUCAUGUGUCUCUUGGCCAUUUGGCUGUCUUCUUUGGAAAAAUGUCUGUUCAUGUCUUCUGCCCAUUUCUUGAUUGGAUCAUUUGUUCUUUGGGUGUUGAGUUUAAGAAGUUCUUUAUAGAUUUUGGGUACUAGCCUUUUAUCUGAUAUGUCAUUUGCAAAUAUCUUCUCCCAUUCUGUCGGUUGUCUUUUGGUUUUGUUGACUGUUUCUUUUGCUUUGCAAAAGCUUUUUAUCUUGAUGAAGUCCCAAUAGUUCCAUUUUGCCCUUGCUUCCCUUGUCUUUGGCGAUGUUUCUGGGAAGAAGUUGCUGCAGCUGAGGUCGAAGAGGCUGCUACCUAUGUUCUCCUUUAGGAUUUUGAUGGACUCCUGUCUCACAUUGAGGUCUUUCAACCAUUUGGAGUCUAUUUUUGUGUGUGGUGUAAGGAAAUGGUCCAGUUUCAUUCUUCUGCAUGUGGCUAUCCAAUUUUCCCAACACCAUUUGUUGAAGAGACUGUUUUUUUCCAUAAUUCCAUAAAGAAUGUCCAUUCUUUCCUGCUUUGUUGAAGAUUAGUUGACCAUGGAAUUGAGGGUUCAUUUCUGGGCUCUCUAUUCUGUUCCAUUUAUCUAUGUGUCCGUUUUUGUGCCAGUACCAUGCUGUCUUGAUGAUGACAGCUUUGUAAUAGAGCUUGAAGUCCGGAAUUGUGAUGCCGCCAGCUUUGCUUUUCUUUUUCAACAUUCCUCUUGCUAUUCAGGGUCUUUUUCUGGUUCCAUACAAAUUUUAGGAUUAUUUGUUCCAUUUCUUUGAAAAAAGUUGAUGGUAUUUUGAUAGGGAUUGCAUUGAAUGUGUAGAUUGCUAUAGGUAGCAUUGACAUCUUCACAAUAUUUGUUCUUCCAAUCCAUGAGCAUGGAACAUUUUUCCAUUUCUUUGUGUCUUCCUCAAUUUCUUUCAUGAGUAUUUUAUAGUUUUCUGAGUACAGAUACUUUGCCUCUUUGGUUAGAUUUAUUCGUAGGUAUCUUACAGUUUUGGGUGCAAUUGUAAAUGGGAUCGACUCCUUAAUUUCUCUUUCUUCUGUCUUCUUGUUGGUGUAUAGGAAUGCCACUGAUUUCUGUGCAUUGAUUUUCUAUCCUGCCACUUUACUGAAUUCCUGUAUGAGUUCUAGCAGUUUUGGGGUGGAGUCUUUGGGGCAAAAUUAUUUUUUAUAUAUUUUUGUUAUAUAUAUUACACAUACAUAUGUAUAUGUAUGGUUUUUGACUAGUCAUUUUGAUGUUGUAUACUUAAGUUCAAUCGUCUGUAUAAAAAAGCUAACUGAUGAGGUUGAUAAUGCAGGUUUUUAUAUGCUGAUUUUAGUAAAUGUGUAAUCAAUCAUCCACUUCAAAUAACAAAUAUAUAAAAUGUCUAUCUCCAGGGCUCAUACUGAUUAGUUAUUCACUUUAAGAAUUAACUACUUCAAACUGACAUGCAUUUGUUUUACUAUUGUGACUUCUCCAAAAAGAAGGAAAAAAAUCUUUUAAAAUGUCCAGGUAAAACUUAAUAGAUAAUGAAAUGGGAUUGUGUUAGAAGGGAUAUUGUACAGUUCUGAAAUGUUAACUCUAUAAAACAAGGGAAGAAAAUCAAGGUUGGUUUUUUAUAACCAAAGUAGUAUUAAAUUAUUUCUUCAGGUUUAGCAAAAGCAUGCAUAGAUCAAAACCCAAGAAGGUUACAGUUAUAUUCCGAUAAUGAAAAGAUCCACUCAAUAAAUAUGCCGGGUACUAAUCUAGGUUUUAGGUGGCUGGGAGGUGAGAGGCGGGGUGGGUAAAGACAGAAAUCCCUUAUAAAAAUUGUAUUUUUUUUUUAAGAUUUUAUUUAUUUGACAGAGACACAGCAAGAAAGGGAACAGAAGCAGGGGGUGUGGGAGAGGGAGAAGCAGGCUUCCCGCUGAGCAGGAAGCCUGAUGCGGGGCUCAAUCCCAGGACCCUGGGAUCAUGAACUGAGCCGAAGGCAGACACUUAAUGACUGAGCCACACAGGAGCCCCAGGAAGUAAUUCUUAAUAUGAAUUUGCAUCAGACCUUUCUUAUUUAAAUGUUAUCAAUAUUAAUUUAAGGCUGUGAAAUCUCUGUCAUGUGUGGUCUCUUUGAUUCUGAUGCUUGCCUGCAGGUUCUGUUAUGUGCUGCAGGCUAGAAAUAUGCUGGGACUAAUCUAGGUCCUAGGUAGCUGAGAGGUGAGGGGCGGGGUGGGUAAAGUCAGAAAUCCCUUAUAAAAAUUGUAUUUUAGUAAAGGAAGACAGAAAAAUGAAAUAGGUUUGUAGUGUGUUAAAGGUUGAUAAUGAUGUGAUGAAAACCCACGACAUGUGUACAAAGAGGGUGUGGGAGGUGUUUAGUUCUCAGUUAGGGCAUGCAGAGGUAGCUUCUCAAUCUCUCUCAGUAGCUUGAGGAGAUUUUUCUUUAAAAAAAUAAGUAAAUAAAUAAUACCUAAAAUUUAAAAAGGCAUGUAGUUCUCAAGGAGUUUGAUGUACUGUCCUAAUAAUCUUUAAUAUUUAAAAUUUUGUAUAACAGGAGAACUUUGAAUCCUAGUGAGAAUAAAGAGAAGGGGAGGAGGGCAUGGAAGUAUGGGUCAUUAAGGAAGGAAAGGCCAAAUUGGGAGUAAAAAGUAAGAUAGAGAAUAAAUAGACCCACUUUUACAUUUUUAUCACAUGAGACAUCAGUUUAAAGGAUCCAGGGGCUAUAAUAAUAAUAUAAAUAGUAGCUAAUAAUUUGAGAAUUUUCCCCCACACUAGACACAGUACUAAACCCCUGAAACACAUUGCUUUAGUUAAUCUUCCCAGGAACCCUCCAAUAUGGGCACCUGUGUUUUAACAAUGAGAAACUAAACUGCUAGGAAGUUCAGUAGCUUUCUUAGAGACACAGUUAGCAAUUGCCAGAAUUGGUAUUAGAAUGUAAUUGUUGGACCCCAAAGCACAUGGAUGUACCCACCGUAUUUUCCUGUUGUAGGCUGUUUCCCCUAUCCUAGUCUGUCUGCAAGACAUAGCUCAGAUGUUACUUACUUACUGCUUAUAAUUGUCAUUAUUUUUCAGGGACUUUGAAGUUUCCAAUUAUCUUUUCCAUUUAUAUAUGUUUCAUUGGAUUCCACUGAAGGCUGUAUUAGAGUAAGUUUGGGAAAAGGUGUUUCUUUAUAGCUGAAGUCAAAAUUAUUUUGAGUUCCAAAGCACAAUGUUUUUGUAAAAAAUGUUGAAUCUGCAUGGUCAAAACUCAUUUAGAUGACAAAGUAUGUGGUUAUAAGGUGAAUAAAAAUCUUAUUUUUUUCUUUUUCAA
Molecule: RNA transcript, 19146 nt
Organism: Mirounga angustirostris (Northern elephant seal)
Lineage: Eukaryota; Metazoa; Chordata; Mammalia; Carnivora; Phocidae
Gene: GBE1
Gene name: 1,4-alpha-glucan branching enzyme 1
Exons: 16
Source: RefSeq, a predicted model, not a curated record